CGUAGGGUGCAAGCGUUAUCCGGAAUUAUUGGGCGUAAAGCGAUCACAGGUGGACAAGUAGGUCCGGUGUUAAAUACCCACGGCUUAACCGGGGUGCUGCAUUGGAAACCCCUUGACUAGAGGAAGGCAAAGGCAGGUGGAAUUUCCAUUGUAGGGGUUAAAUCCGUAGAUAAUGGAAGGAACACCAAAAGCGAAGGCAGCCUGCUGGGCCUUUCCUGACACUGCUUGAUCGAAAGCGUGGGGAGCAAAAGGGAUUAGAUACCCCUGUAGUCCACGCCUUAAACUAUGGAUACUCGAUGUUCGGAGGUUCAAUCCCUCUGAGUGUCUAAGCUAACGCGUUAAGUAUCCCGCCUGGGGAGUACGGCCGCAAGGCUA
RNAcentral lists this ribosomal RNA (375 nucleotides) under uncultured organism. RNAcentral's name for it is "bacterial SSU rRNA". It matches the Rfam family "Bacterial small subunit ribosomal RNA", at positions 526 to 896 of the family's 1533-position model. The record is from RNAcentral.